UCGUGCUUUAACUAUUACAUCCAAGUGGCCGUGGUGUCACUGGCGCAAAAGGACGCAAUGGCUCGAAAAUCCUUGGUAGUUCUGCGGAGCGCCCAAUUGUGCACCCGUUAAGUGGUAAUAGUAGUAUAGGUACAGAAAAUAAUGCUAGCUCUCAGCAGGCAAAAAACAUGUUUACUGUAGCCUACUGCUACCAGUCGACGUACUAUGCCCUGAAACCUAAUUCCAACCCACCAGAAUAUUACUUCAUAACAAGAGGAACGCUUCCACCCCAGUACGCACAAACCAUAGGACUUCCGGAAGCGCCUCGCAUGGCUAAGUUUUAGAGACGGUUUUACUGCAAAGCAUGUAACUUACCCGUUUGCUCACCAAAGUGUUCAAAGAAUUUCUUUUACGGUGUGACAUGAUUUUAGUUUUUUCUUGCCAAUCAAGAUUUCAAACCAAUCCAACAGUUGCAAGCUGAAGCUGUUUAUAUGUGAAUGUUGUACUUCUGUACUUUUUUUAUAACUGCCAGAGCAAAGAAAAAGCUUUGUUUUAAUGUAAACAAGACACUAA
Molecule: long non-coding RNA, 552 nt
Organism: Daphnia magna
Lineage: Eukaryota; Metazoa; Arthropoda; Branchiopoda; Diplostraca; Daphniidae
Exons: 2
Source: RefSeq, a predicted model, not a curated record